GCAAGUCCUAUUUUGAUCAUAUCUUUGAAUAUGAUCUAUAGGAUUGUAUUAAAAUUGAAUAAAGCCUUGUUUAUAUAUUGAUAAUGACAGUAUAUAUAUCGUGUCUUGACUAAUUGCGUGCCAGCAGUCGCGGUAAUACGUAAGAGACUAGUGUUAUUCAUCUUAAUUAGGUUUAAAGGGUACCUAGACGGUCAAUAUAGCUUCUAUAAUGUUAGUACUUGACUAGAGUUUUAUGUAAGAGGGCGGUACUUGAGGAGGAGAGAUGAAAUUCUAUGAUACCAAAGGGACUCGGUAAAGGCGAAGGCAGCCCUCUAUGUAGAAACUGACGUUAAAGGACGAAGGCACAGAGCACAAACAGGAUUAGAUACCCAAGUAGUCUUUGCAGUAAAUGAUGAAUGCCAUAGGUCAGAUUAAGAUUUAAUAUUAUAAUUACAAAUUAUAAAUUAAACAUUAUUUGGUCUAUAAAUGAAAGUGUAAGCAUUUCACCUCAAGAGUAAUGUGGCAACGCAGGAACUGAAAU
RNAcentral lists this ribosomal RNA (520 nucleotides) under Trichoderma harzianum. RNAcentral's name for it is "SSU rRNA". It matches the Rfam family "Bacterial small subunit ribosomal RNA", at positions 377 to 906 of the family's 1533-position model. Lineage: Eukaryota; Fungi; Ascomycota; Sordariomycetes; Hypocreales; Hypocreaceae. The record is from RNAcentral.